Molecule: small RNA, 125 nt
Filed under: Marmota monax (woodchuck)
Lineage: Eukaryota; Metazoa; Chordata; Mammalia; Rodentia; Sciuridae
Source: RNAcentral
GCUGGGCGCAUGGCACACGCCUGUAAUCCCAGUGGCUCUGGAGGCUGAGGCAGGAGGAUCGUGAGUUCAAAGCCAGCUUCAGCAAAAAGUGAGGUGCUAAGCAAUUCAAUGAGAUUCUGUCUCUA